UAGAACUUAACAAGGAGAUCAGGAACAAAGUAUUCGAAUGGCGAGUCGCUUUGAAGAAAGCAUGGACAAGCAAAUGCAAUGGAAAUGAUGAAGAAAAAUGGAUUGAGCGUUGUGAAUCGUUGAAGAAGCAAUUACGUGACAUUAACGAUAAGGUAAAACGCAAUUGUAUUCUUUCCUAUGUUUAGAUUUAGCUAUGUGUCUGACGACUCGAGCAUAUCCAAAUGGUGUUUGGAGUUGCAGGUUUUCCGGUAUAAUUUGAUCGUUCCGUUCGGCCGCCAAAUGUUCGGAUUGAAAUGGGAAAAGGAAGUGGCCCGCCUUGAAGAAUAACUAGUAUGUUUUCUUCUUCAAGUUUUUGUUGAUGUAGGCAUUUUUAAAUGUUGGUCGGUUUUUGAGGAUCC
RNAcentral lists this long non-coding RNA (398 nucleotides) under Gossypium barbadense (sea-island cotton). Its description in RNAcentral is "long non-coding RNA (GBAR_LNC015625)". The record is from RNAcentral. Lineage: Eukaryota; Viridiplantae; Streptophyta; Magnoliopsida; Malvales; Malvaceae.